GGAAUAUUGGACAAUGGGCGCAAGCCUGAUCCAGCCAUGCCGCGUGAGUGAAGAAGGCCUUAGGGUUGUAAAGCUCUUUCGCCGAUGAAGAUAAUGACGGUAGUCGGAGAAGAAGCCCCGGCUAACUUCGUUCCAGCAGCCGCGGUAAUACGAAGGGGGCUAGCGUUGUUCGGAUUUACUGGGCGUAAAGCGCGCGUAGGCGGGUUGUUAAGUCAGGGGUGAAAUGCCGAGGCUCAACCUCGGAACUGCCUUUGAUACUGGCAACCUGGAGUUCGGGAGAGGUGAGUGGAAUUCCGAGUGUAGAGGCGAAAUUCGUAGAUAUUCGGAGGAACACCAGAAGCGAAGGCGGCUCACUGGCCCGAUACUGACGCUGAGGCGCGAAAGCGUGGGGAGCAAA
RNAcentral lists this ribosomal RNA (397 nucleotides) under uncultured bacterium. RNAcentral's name for it is "bacterial SSU rRNA". It matches the Rfam family "Bacterial small subunit ribosomal RNA", at positions 358 to 772 of the family's 1533-position model. The record is from RNAcentral.